This 630-nucleotide ribosomal RNA is filed under the name Dyella sp. IBb321. RNAcentral describes it as "bacterial SSU rRNA". It matches the Rfam family "Bacterial small subunit ribosomal RNA", at positions 383 to 1004 of the family's 1533-position model. Lineage: Bacteria; Pseudomonadati; Pseudomonadota; Gammaproteobacteria; Lysobacterales; Rhodanobacteraceae. The record is from RNAcentral.
CUGAUCCAGCAAUGCCGCGUGUGUGAAGAAGGCCUUCGGGUUGUAAAGCACUUUUAUCAGGAGCGAAAUACUGCCGGCUAAUACCCGGCGGGGCUGACGGUACCUGAGGAAUAAGCACCGGCUAACUUCGUGCCAGCAGCCGCGGUAAUACGAAGGGUGCAAGCGUUAAUCGGAAUUACUGGGCGUAAAGCGUGCGUAGGCGGUUCUUUAAGUCUGCUGUGAAAUCCCCGGGCUCAACCUGGGAAUGGCAGUGGAUACUGGAGAGCUAGAGUGUGAUAGAAGAUGGUGGAAUUCCCGGUGUAGCGGUGAAAUGCGUAGAGAUCGGGAGGAACAUCAGUGGCGAAGGCGGCCAUCUGGAUCAACACUGACGCUGAGGCACGAAAGCGUGGGGAGCAAACAGGAUUAGAUACCCUGGUAGUCCACGCCCUAAACGAUGCGAACUGGAUGUUGGUCUCAACUCGGAGAUCAGUGUCGAAGCUAACGCGUUAAGUUCGCCGCCUGGGGAGUACGGUCGCAAGACUGAAACUCAAAGGAAUUGACGGGGGCCCGCACAAGCGGUGGAGUAUGUGGUUUAAUUCGAUGCAACGCGAAGAACCUUACCUGGCCUUGACAUGUCUGGAAUCCUGCAAA